AUCCUUUUGUAGUUCAUGAGUGUGAUGGAUUGGGUGUUCAUAUGCAUGUGUGAGAUGCGCCACCAUUGAACCUUGUUAAGAUAUGGACACAUUACCACCUGUCUGACA
Gorilla gorilla gorilla (western lowland gorilla) is the source of this 108-nucleotide small nucleolar RNA. RefSeq annotates it as small nucleolar RNA U13. The transcript has a single exon. Lineage: Eukaryota; Metazoa; Chordata; Mammalia; Primates; Hominidae. The record is from RefSeq and is a predicted model, not a curated record.